Molecule: long non-coding RNA, 768 nt
Filed under: Homo sapiens (human)
Lineage: Eukaryota; Metazoa; Chordata; Mammalia; Primates; Hominidae
Description: HSALNT0237539
Source: RNAcentral
CAUGAUGUUGCAUUGUACUGAAAAGCCCUCUGGCUUCACAUAGCAAUGUGAGCCUUCAAUUUCACAUUCCUUAAAGUGAGGAGAGGCUCUUCUGGUUAGAAGCCCAGAUGCAAAAUGCAUCCAUCAAUUCCAGACUAGGCACUUCGCUGCAGCAAAGCUCCCAGGGUCUUUCGCAGCUUCAGAGAGCUGCCUAGCUCUGCUGCUUUGACCAAGGGACCUCUGUUAUUUAUUUAUCUUUCUCACACCUACUCAUUCAGAAGGAUUUCCUCAGAGGCUUCUGUUGCCCGGUUUUGUGCUAACUUUAGCUGACAAGUGUGGCUAAGCAAAAGAUUUGAUCUUUGCCCUUAAUGAGAGUACGCAAUAAUGAUGAGGUCAAAAAGAUGACCUUUCUUAGGUGUUGCCGGCGAUGCUCUGGCACCUCCUGAAAAACUCAGGGGCCCAGAGUCUGAGGAGUAUGAAGAAACAGGGCAGCCCCAGGGAAGACGAGGGGGGCCCAUGAAACAAAGCAAGUCGGCAUGACCAAGUUGAAACGUCGCUUCAUUUUCCAAGCUUGCAGCAAAUAUCCGUUACUAUCGCCAAAGGAGGAGAAGCUAAAUGCAAGUUUGGGAGGUUAUAAGGAAGCAAUAGACAAGAAACUCCCUUCCAAGGAUGAGGCCUCUUCCACAUUCGGCUUUCGUCUGAUUUAACAGCUCAAUUUCUUCAUCCUGCCACCUCCCUCAUGGUUUUUAUGAGACCUGGGAACUAUUAAAGAAUGCCAAAUACAAUUCA